This 467-nucleotide ribosomal RNA is filed under the name uncultured bacterium. RNAcentral's name for it is "partial 16S ribosomal RNA". It matches the Rfam family "Bacterial small subunit ribosomal RNA", at positions 28 to 507 of the family's 1533-position model. The record is from RNAcentral.
GAUGAACGCUGGCGGCGCGCCUAACACAUGCAAGUCGAACGAUUAAAGCACCUUCGGGUGUGUAUAAAGUGGCGAACGGCUGAGUAACACGUGGGCAACCUGCCCCUCUCAUUGGGAUAGCCACGGGAAACCGUGGAUAAUACCGAAUACUUCGGGACUUCCGCAUGGAAGACUCGAGAAAGCUCCGGCGGUGAGGGAUGGGCCCGCGGCCUGUUAGCUUGUUGGUGGGGUAAUGGCCUACCAAGGCAAUGAUGGGUAGCUGGGUUGAGAGACCGACCAGCCAGAUUGGGACUGAGACACGGCCCAGACUCCUACGGGAGGCAGCAGUGGGGAAUCUUGCACAAUGGGCGAAAGCCUGAUGCAGCGACGCCGCGUGCGGGAUGAAGGCCUUCGGGUUGUAAACCGCUUUCAGCAGGGACGAGGCGAAAGUGACGGUACCUGCAGAAGAAGCCCCGGCUAACUACGUG